Molecule: long non-coding RNA, 2730 nt
Organism: Silurus meridionalis
Lineage: Eukaryota; Metazoa; Chordata; Actinopteri; Siluriformes; Siluridae
Exons: 3
Source: RefSeq, a predicted model, not a curated record
AUCAAAUGAGAUACUAGAGAAACAAAGCCCAAACAAAUGAACAUGCUGUAUAGAAGUAGGAUUAGAACUGAAUACACAAUGUCAUUUUUGCUUUUAACAACUAAGUAUUUAUACAUAUAUAUUAUAAAGAGCCUAGCAACAAAUCUAGGGAAUUGCUAAGAACACAGUAGCUUCUGUUCUACACUCCAUAUGGCUUUCCAGCUCACAUAACAGCUGCUAACGAGUUAUAGGCAGCAGGCUUUGUCGACUCACCACCAGUGUGUAAAGGCUGACUGAGUUGCGUUUGCGUGAGCCAAUGUUAUUAAAAGCUCAUCAAUCAGAUGAUCAUUGUUUCCGGUGACCAAUCCCUGACCACCAUUGCUUGCCCCACCUACACACUUCUCUGGACUAAAUUUACAAGCAUUCAAAAGAAUUACGAGUCAAUUCCACUAAUUUGACAGCAGUGUUUCAAUGAUGUUUAUAUUUUCAACUAAUAUUUUUUAACUGAUAUUUCAUUGUAUCACACCAUUACUGUGUUGAUUACAUUGAAACAGUUACUACAUUUACAUUGAGAUGUCAGCCUGUGCAUUGCAUAGCAGCAUGUGGCCGAUCAAUGACCACUGUGCCCACAUUUGUACAUAAUUAUGGUAUGUAAAAUAAGAAAUGUCAUAUAUUCGGACCUAGAGUACAUGUUCCUGAAUAAUGUCCAACAUUACAAAUAGCGCUUUCCAAAUCAUAGUAUGUUGAAUUUAAAUAUCUCAAAAGGUCACCGAGUGGUCUGUUAUCUCCAGAAGAUUUUGGAAGCAAAGAUCUGUGGACCACUGAUGAUGCCCACGACUCCUUGCAAGAGGGAGAAGUUGUUUUGCGGCAGGACAGACAGGUGUACACGGUACGAGGAAAAAAAUUAAUAAAUCAAAUUGCAAGAACUCGAGCUGCACAAAUCAUAGCGAAUUAAAAUGAUAAAGCACACACUAUAGAUUAUUGAAUAAAAAAAAGCUCUGAAAUGUUUUUUCCAGUGACACUGUCCAGAAAAAAAGCACCAAACCUUCCAACGACUCAGAGCUUGAAUAUUUUUUGUUACACACUCAAAAGCAUGCAAUCUCUCAACCUUUUACUAAUAUAAAUAAGCAAAUUUGCAAUAAUCAGCAAUGAUUUGUCAUCCUAUUUUAAAUGACCUCAGAAAACCUGCGGUUUUGAUGCAAAUAACGAUUUAAUUCAUAUGCAAACAACCAACUACGUCACCCAGCGACUUCUUAAGCCUUUUUGAGUAUAUUGUAGUGACUUUUCUCUAAAGAUUUGGGAACCACUGGGUGCAAAACGUGCAUGAACCAAAGCUAAAGGGAAACACGUUUGCACGUGGAGCGCGGGCCAUUUGAGGACGGUGGAGGGGGGGGGUGAAAGUAUGACAAAACACCAAGAGCAAGCACAAAUUUUGUAUUAAAAUCUAAUUCUGCACCGGUAUUUAGCAGGUGUGUUUAUAAAUGUGGCGUUCCAGGGGUUGAGGAUUAAACGUAAGGCUCGUGGUGUGUUGUGUUGAAAGCUUGAACAUCGCGCAGCCUCCGCGGUCUCGGGAAGCAGCGGAGUAAAGCGUCUUCGAUGAAGCUACAGCACGAACCUGCUCCGAGGCCAGAUUUGCUGGCCAGACACGUAAUACCCUUUGGCCUCCCUGUCCUCAAAUGGAAAUAAUGGAGCUGUCUGAUCAUACUAUCUAGCAGCCAAAAGCUAGCAACGUGGGGGAGAGACAAGGUAAACGAUCAUCUGAUAAAUUGACUGUCCUUCAUUGGCACGAGUUCAACAGCGAGGGAGAAAGAGGCAAAGCUUGAAAAUGAAAACAUGUCAAACCAUAUGGAAAUACAGUGUGUUUCUUUUUGAGAUUCAUUCAUGUGAAAGAAAACCAGAAUAUGUUUUAUCAACACAAUCAUAGAUGCAGACGGUGUUCACUAUGCUUUAAAUCAAAGCCAGGUUGUCAUAAGUGAAAACAGUUGAUUUAUUAAAAAAUUCAUGGGAGCUCAGUUUUUACAAAGCAUUUGGGAAGCACACAUCGAAAGAAGAAAAAAGUAUAUAUGGAAUUUGUAGUGCCCCUGGUUUGGACCUGAGCUCUAAAAACAGCCAAACAACAAUACCAAGCAGGUGGGAUGAGCUUUGCCAGGGGGAGGCCCUCUAUUCUGGGAAUAAAGACUUUUGCCUCCCCUCUUGUCCCAGAACAAUCAGAGCAUGCAAGGACAGACACCAUGCUUUUCAUUCCCUCUGGCAAAAAGCUUUCGAGUGCCAAGCUAAUGAAGGGAGCACCCACUCUCUGCUUAGUGCCCCAUCCAGUGAGAGGUAAGAGUCUGGGCAAGAGUCUUUUACCUUAAGGAAGCCAGUGUGUUGCAGCAUUUAUAUUGUUACUUUUCAUAUUUUUGUGUGACAUAUGAAACUCUGAUCUGAAGAUCGGAUAACCGCCAUCCAGUACUGUAGUACUGAGACCUUAAUAGGAUGCAAGUCAUUUCAUUUACGAGAUGGGAAUGAUAUGACUUUGGGCAAAAGUCCUGGGUUCAAUCACAAGGUUAUCCCAGAGUCAUCUGGCCAUCAAUGCAUGGAAGGGUAUCCACUCUCAUGGCUGGGUUAGAAUCCUGUUACAAGGUUGCGAAGAACUUUACCAAGAAACAUGGCGAGGAUGUCAAACAUGACACUGUUGAUGAAGUUGGUAAAGAAAACUUUGAUAAUUAUGUAGAGGACUUUUUGUUAAUAAAGCUAUAUUUUGUACAGCAA